RNAcentral lists this small nucleolar RNA (99 nucleotides) under Pseudogracilibacillus auburnensis. Lineage: Bacteria; Bacillati; Bacillota; Bacilli; Caryophanales; Bacillaceae. The record is from RNAcentral.
AUUUUCAGCAGGGAUGAUAAUUGUUUUAAUCCCAGCUCGAUGUGCACUUAAUGAUUUCUCUUUAAGACCACCAAUUGGUAAUACAUGGCCACGUAAAGU